RNAcentral lists this ribosomal RNA (426 nucleotides) under uncultured Spirochaeta sp. Its description in RNAcentral is "bacterial SSU rRNA". It matches the Rfam family "Bacterial small subunit ribosomal RNA", at positions 954 to 1382 of the family's 1533-position model. The record is from RNAcentral. Lineage: Bacteria; Pseudomonadati; Spirochaetota; Spirochaetia; Spirochaetales; Spirochaetaceae.
AUGAUACGCGAGAAACCUUACCAGGGCUUGACAUAUACAGGAAUGUUGUAGAGAUACAGCAGCCGCUUGCGGUCUGUAUACAGGUGCUGCAUGGCUGUCGUCAGCUCGUGCUGUGAAGUGUUGGGUUAAGUCCCGCAACGAGCGCAACCCUAUCAUCUGUUGCCAGCAUUUAAGGUGGGGACUCAGAUGAGACUGCCGGUGACAAACCGGAGGAAGGUGGGGACGACGUCAAGUCAUCAUGGCCCUUAUGUCCUGGGCUACACACGUGCUACAAUGGCCGGUACAGAGUGAAGCGAAACCGCGAGGUGAAGCAAAACGCAGAAAGCCGGUCUCAGUACGGAUUGGAGUCUGAAACUCGACUUCAUGAAGUUGGAAUCGCUAGUAAUCGCGCAUCAGCAUGGCGCGGUGAAUACGUUCCCGGGCCUU